GGUUAAGCGACUAAGCGUACACGGUGGAUGCCCUGGCAGUCAGAGGCGAUGAAGGACGUGCUAAUCUGCGAUAAGCGUCGGUAAGGUGAUAUGAACCGUUAUAACCGGCGAUUUCCGAAUGGGGAAACCCAGUGUGAUUCGUCACACUAUCAUUAACUGAAUCCAUAGGUUAAUGAGGCGAACCGGGGGAACUGAAACAUCUAAGUACCCCGAGGAAAAGAAAUCAACCGAGAUUCCCCCAGUAGCGGCGAGCGAACGGGGAGCAGCCCAGAGCCUGAAUCAGUGUGUGUGUUAGUGGAAGCGUCUGGAAAGGCGCGCGAUACAGGGUGACAGCCCCGUACACAAAAAUGCACAUACUGUGAGCUCGAUGAGUAGGGCGGGACACGUGGUAUCCUGUCUGAAUAUGGGGGGACCAUCCUCCAAGGCUAAAUACUCCUGACUGACCGAUAGUGAACCAGUACCGUGAGGGAAAGGCGAAAAGAACCCCGGCGAGGGGAGUGAAAAAGAACCUGAAACCGUGUACGUACAAGCAGUGGGAGCACAGAGCAAUCUGUGUGACUGCGUACCUUUUGUAUAAUGGGUCAGCGACUUAUAUUCUGUAGCAAGGUUAACCGAAUAGGGGAGCCGAAGGGAAACCGAGUCUUAACUGGGCGUUAAGUUGCAGGGUAUAGACCCGAAACCCGGUGAUCUAGCCAUGGGCAGGUUGAAGGUUGGGUAACACUAACUGGAGGACCGAACCGACUAAUGUUGAAAAAUUAGCGGAUGACUUGUGGCUGGGGGUGAAAGGCCAAUCAAACCGGGAGAUAGCUGGUUCUCCCCGAAAGCUAUUUAGGUAGCGCCUCGUGAAUUCAUCUCCGGGGGUAGAGCACUGUUUCGGCAAGGGGGUCAUCCCGACUUACCAACCCGAUGCAAACUGCGAAUACCGGAGAAUGUUAUCACGGGAGACACACGGCGGGUGCUAACGUCCGUCGUGAAGAGGGAAACAACCCAGACCGCCAGCUAAGGUCCCAAAGUCAUGGUUAAGUGGGAAACGAUGUGGGAAGGCCCAGACAGCCAGGAUGUUGGCUUAGAAGCAGCCAUCAUUUAAAGAAAGCGUAAUAGCUCACUGGUCGAGUCGGCCUGCGCGGAAGAUGUAACGGGGCUAAACCAUGCACCGAAGCUGCGGCAGCGACGCUGAUGCGUUGUUGGGUAGGGGAGCGUUCUGUAAGCCUGUGAAGGUGUGCUGUGAGGCAUGCUGGAGGUAUCAGAAGUGCGAAUGCUGACAUAAGUAACGAUAAAGCGGGUGAAAAGCCCGCUCGCCGGAAGACCAAGGGUUCCUGUCCAACGUUAAUCGGGGCAGGGUGAGUCGACCCCUAAGGCGAGGCCGAAAGGCGUAGUCGAUGGGAAACAGGUUAAUAUUCCUGUACUUGGUGUUACUGCGAAGGGGGGACGGAGAAGGCUAUGUUGGCCGGGCGACGGUUGUCCCGGUUUAAGCGUGUAGGCUGGUUUUCCAGGCAAAUCCGGAAAAUCAAGGCUGAGGCGUGAUGACGAGGCACUACGGUGCUGAAGCAACAAAUGCCCUGCUUCCAGGAAAAGCCUCUAAGCAUCAGGUAACAUCAAAUCGUACCCCAAACCGACACAGGUGGUCAGGUAGAGAAUACCAAGGCGCUUGAGAGAACUCGGGUGAAGGAACUAGGCAAAAUGGUGCCGUAACUUCGGGAGAAGGCACGCUGAUAUGUAGGUGAAGUCCCUUGCGGAUGGAGCUGAAAUCAGUCGAAGAUACCAGCUGGCUGCAACUGUUUAUUAAAAACACAGCACUGUGCAAACACGAAAGUGGACGUAUACGGUGUGACGCCUGCCCGGUGCCGGAAGGUUAAUUGAUGGGGUCAGCGCAAGCGAAGCUCUUGAUCGAAGCCCCGGUAAACGGCGGCCGUAACUAUAACGGUCCUAAGGUAGCGAAAUUCCUUGUCGGGUAAGUUCCGACCUGCACGAAUGGCGUAAUGAUGGCCAGGCUGUCUCCACCCGAGACUCAGUGAAAUUGAACUCGCUGUGAAGAUGCAGUGUACCCGCGGCAAGACGGAAAGACCCCGUGAACCUUUACUAUAGCUUGACACUGAACAUUGAGCCUUGAUGUGUAGGAUAGGUGGGAGGCUUUGAAGUGUGGACGCCAGUCUGCAUGGAGCCGACCUUGAAAUACCACCCUUUAAUGUUUGAUGUUCUAACGUUGACCCGUAAUCCGGGUUGCGGACAGUGUCUGGUGGGUAGUUUGACUGGGGCGGUCUCCUCCUAAAGAGUAACGGAGGAGCACGAAGGUUGGCUAAUCCUGGUCGGACAUCAGGAGGUUAGUGCAAUGGCAUAAGCCAGCUUGACUGCGAGCGUGACGGCGCGAGCAGGUGCGAAAGCAGGUCAUAGUGAUCCGGUGGUUCUGAAUGGAAGGGCCAUCGCUCAACGGAUAAAAGGUACUCCGGGGAUAACAGGCUGAUACCGCCCAAGAGUUCAUAUCGACGGCGGUGUUUGGCACCUCGAUGUCGGCUCAUCACAUCCUGGGGCUGAAGUAGGUCCCAAGGGUAUGGCUGUUCGCCAUUUAAAGUGGUACGCGAGCUGGGUUUAGAACGUCGUGAGACAGUUCGGUCCCUAUCUGCCGUGGGCGCUGGAGAAUUGAGGGGGGCUGCUCCUAGUACGAGAGGACCGGAGUGGACGCAUCACUGGUGUUCGGGUUGUCAUGCCAAUGGCACUGCCCGGUAGCUAAAUGCGGAAGAGAUAAGUGCUGAAAGCAUCUAAGCACGAAACUUGCCCCGAGAUGAGUUCUCCCUGACUCCUUGAGAGUCCUGAAGGAACGUUGAAGACGACGACGUUGAUAGGCCGGGUGUGUAAGCGCAGCGAUGCGUUGAGCUAACCGGUACUAAUGAACCGUGAGGCUUAACCUU
This 2906-nucleotide ribosomal RNA is filed under the name Escherichia coli. RNAcentral describes it as "23S ribosomal RNA". It matches the Rfam family "Bacterial large subunit ribosomal RNA". Lineage: Bacteria; Pseudomonadati; Pseudomonadota; Gammaproteobacteria; Enterobacterales; Enterobacteriaceae. The record is from RNAcentral.